Molecule: Y RNA, 96 nt
Filed under: Microcebus murinus (gray mouse lemur)
Lineage: Eukaryota; Metazoa; Chordata; Mammalia; Primates; Cheirogaleidae
Description: Y RNA (ENSMICG00000041628.1)
Rfam family: Y RNA
About the family: Y RNAs are components of the Ro ribonucleoprotein particle (Ro RNP), in association with Ro60 and La proteins. The Y RNAs and Ro60 and La proteins are well conserved, but the function of the Ro RNP is not known. In humans the RNA component can be one of four small RNAs -- hY1, hY3, hY4 and hY5.
Source: Rfam by way of RNAcentral
GGCUGGUCCAAUGGCACUGGGUUAUCAGAACUUAUUAACAUUAGUGUCACUAAAGUUGGUAUUCAACCCCCCACUGCUAAAUUUGACUGGCUUAAA